UUUUAAGCUGGAAAUUCUCGUCAAAUUCUUUGCAGGCUUAAAACUAGACCGUCUCGUUAAUGUUCUUGCGGAAUUCUACACAUAAACCAAAACAGGAAAAUUCACAAAAAAGAAGGGAAAUCGUCAAUUUCCAGCUAUUUUAAUUGGUAAGCAAAGGCAAUAAGAAUUCAACAUAUGUGUAGUUCCGCUCGCCUAAUCCUCUAUUCUCUUCGCCAUAUAUUAUCCUUUAAAAAAACAAAAGAGAUCAAGAAUUUAACAGACUUGCCUGUAGGUUUUCAGUACUUGUAUCAGAAGAACCAUCAGUGGAGGAUACAUGGUGAUUGGAUAUACUGCUGGAUCUCUUUCGGUACGGCUUCAGGCUUGGUGAUUUGGAGAGCUUGAUUGAUGUCAACUUUUUCAAUUUCUUCUUCUUCUUCUUCUUCUGCAGCAGCAGCUCUCCUUGGCUUCUGCCAAUCUGGUUUUGCAAAACAGAUGGUGACAAUUUCUCACACAUUUGGCUGGAAUCCAAAUCAGCUCCAAACUCAGGCUCCUUAUCAUCCAUUAUCUUUCCCUUGACAGAAUUCAAGUUUUCUGAUAUGAAUCUAGCUGCUUUUCUUCUUCUUUGUUUUGUCUUGUUUCUGUUUUUUCUUUUCAGAAGGGAAGAAAGAAAACGAAUUUGGUGGAAAGAAGGGUUUUUGCGGACUCUGUUUUGGGAGAUGACUCAAUAAAAAGAAUCCAAGGAUUGGUGUUUUCAGAAUUUUCUAACUUGAUCUUAAAAUCCAGGUAUGCAAUCAAAAUAAAUAAUAAGAGACAUGAAUAACAGCUGAGUUUGAAGAAUAAGGCUGAGGUUGGACUUCGAUUUCUUGACUUGUAUGCAUACUAUUGCAAUUGACUUGACUAUUCACCCCCUCCUUUAUCUUUUCCUUUAUAGGGAUGAACAACUGUGACACAUUAUUAAAAGUUCUUGGUUGGAAUGACCUUUAAUUCUUUUCUUCUUAUUUUUUAAUUAGAAGCGAUAGCACAACUCAAUGUGACAGCAAGUGACGGAACCGAGAUUUUUAAUAACAGGAUCAUAAUAUUAAUCAAAAAUAUUUUAUUGGGCCAUUUUGUUGUGCACCUAACCGACACUCACUAAUUUCUGCCAACAUAUAUCAGUAGCUUAUGGCAAGAUAUGUCGACAACUACUAUUAUGUAGAGGCUUUUCAAGAGUGGAUGAAAGAUAUUGUAGAGUAAUGUUGAAGGCUACCAAAGCUUGACAACUAAGAUAUUUCAUCAAGCACACAAGUAAGAGUUGUUGAACUUGAAGAAGUGGGAGAAGGAGAUUGUAAUCAAUAGAGUCGCACACAAGAAGAGAGAAC
RNAcentral lists this long non-coding RNA (1337 nucleotides) under Malus domestica (apple). RNAcentral's name for it is "long non-coding RNA (MDOM_LNC013813)". Lineage: Eukaryota; Viridiplantae; Streptophyta; Magnoliopsida; Rosales; Rosaceae. The record is from RNAcentral.